UGGGUCCAUAGCUCAGUGGUAGAGCAAUUGACUGCAGAUCAAUAGGUCACCGGUUCGAACCCGGUUGGGCCCUUAUCUUUGUUUUACAUUGACUUUUUAUUUCUUUUCUCUUUGUAGUGUUUUUUUUGAAAUAAUCAUUUUAUUUAUUUAGUCAACAACAACGGGUCCAUAGCUCAGUGGUAGAGCAAUUGACUGCAGAUCAAUAGGUCACCGGUUCGAACCCGGUUGGGCCCUUCUAUAUUUUUAUUUUUCAUUAAUUGCGCUUAUUUGUUUUUUCUUUGUAGAGCAUUAUUUUGAAGUAAUUAUUUUAUUAUUCAUUUAACAAUAAUGGGUCCAUAGCUCAGUGGUAGAGCAAUUGACUGCAGAUCAAUAGGUCACCGGUUCGAACCCGGUUGGGCCCUUAUC
Molecule: transfer RNA, 405 nt
Filed under: Helianthus annuus (common sunflower)
Lineage: Eukaryota; Viridiplantae; Streptophyta; Magnoliopsida; Asterales; Asteraceae
Description: hypothetical non coding rna
Rfam family: tRNA (bases 2-73)
Source: RNAcentral